RNAcentral lists this long non-coding RNA (883 nucleotides) under Vitis vinifera (wine grape). RNAcentral's name for it is "long non-coding RNA (VVIN_LNC001250)". Lineage: Eukaryota; Viridiplantae; Streptophyta; Magnoliopsida; Vitales; Vitaceae. The record is from RNAcentral.
GGUUAAAUAGAUAAAAUCUUCAAUUGUUGCUUUAAGCAGGAAAUGAGGGGACUUCCUGAUGCUGCCUGGCCAACAAUCAGCAACAUGAAGUUGUUCGCAACAACUGUUCAACUUGAAAGUAAGAGAGUGAGCAAAAAAGAGAAAAAACAGACUCAAUUGCUAAUAAGAACAUAUAUUGAAAGCUAAGGAUAAUAAUUUCUACAAAUUCUAAAACAUAAGGAAUUAUCUGGCCAUUGGAAACUAAUCUAAAUUGGAGAUGUAUCUCUAUUGCUACAAAAACUCUUCAUGCCAGGCUGCAUUGCACUCAAAAGAGAUUCUAUUUUAAUAUCUGAUUCUAAGUAUCAUAGAUAAUGUACAAAGAUACUGAUUUCGCCAAGUUUGUUAUCUUCAUUCCAUAGUGACCUGAAUGCUUUCCCCUGUGGAUUACAAAAUUUGAAAAUUUUAUUGUGGUAGAAUAAUUCUUCAAAUGUUUGCUCGCCUCCAUUUAAUAUUGAAUGUUUCUCCAAUUUGUAUUCUUUUCAUAUCUAAAUUUUAUGCUGCUUAAUGUUUGCCUACUUGAAAUGUAUGCAUUGUUAGUGCCUGUGGAAUGUAGUGUUUACAAUUUGGUACACUAGAGCUGCUUUCAUUUUGUUUUUGGUUUACUAAAUGUGUUUUUGUAUAAUGAUAAAACCAUAUUUCUUUUACAAUGGUUUUAAACAAAUGCAUACAUUUAAUAUAGGAUGACCAAGACAGGAAAAUCCGGAAACUAUCACGUCAGCUGGAAAAUCCAGACACCAUUUAAUAUAUGUUGUCUUCAUUCCAUAGUGACCUGAAUGCUUUCCCCUGUGGAUUACAAAAUUUGAAAAUUUUAUUGUGGUAGAAUAAUUCUUCAAAUGUUUGCUCG